Molecule: transfer RNA, 68 nt
Filed under: Haliotis tuberculata ssp. AVW-2009
Lineage: Eukaryota; Metazoa; Mollusca; Gastropoda; Lepetellida; Haliotidae
Description: tRNA-Arg
Source: RNAcentral
UAGAAAGAAGCGAUUACGCAAUCGGUUUCGGCCCGAAGACUGGGAGUGCUUUCUACUCCCCUUUCUAA